This 947-nucleotide ribosomal RNA is filed under the name Microbacterium takaoensis. RNAcentral describes it as "bacterial SSU rRNA". It matches the Rfam family "Bacterial small subunit ribosomal RNA", at positions 36 to 988 of the family's 1533-position model. The record is from RNAcentral. Lineage: Bacteria; Bacillati; Actinomycetota; Actinomycetes; Micrococcales; Microbacteriaceae.
CGAACGGGUUGGCUUAAUCAUGUCAGUCGAACGGUGAACCAGGGGCUUGCCUCUGGGGAUCAGUGGCGAACGGGUGAGUAACACGUGAGCAACCUGCCCCGAUCUCUGGGAUAAGCGCUGGAAACGGCGUCUAAUACUGGAUAUGAGCUUCCAUCGCAUGGUGGGGGUUGGAAAGAUUUUUCGGUUCGGGAUGGGCUCGCGGCCUAUCAGCUUGUUGGUGAGGUAAUGGCUCACCAAGGCGUCGACGGGUAGCCGGCCUGAGAGGGUGACCGGCCACACUGGGACUGAGACACGGCCCAGACUCCUACGGGAGGCAGCAGUGGGGAAUAUUGCACAAUGGGCGCAAGCCUGAUGCAGCAACGCCGCGUGAGGGAUGACGGCCUUCGGGUUGUAAACCUCUUUUAGCAGGGAAGAAGCGAUAGUGACGGUACCUGCAGAAAAAGCGCCGGCUAACUACGUGCCAGCAGCCGCGGUAAUACGUAGGGCGCAAGCGUUAUCCGGAAUUAUUGGGCGUAAAGAGCUCGUAGGCGGUUUGUCGCGUCUGCUGUGAAAACCCGAGGCUCAACCUCGGGCCUGCAGUGGGUACGGGCAGACUAGAGUGCGGUAGGGGAGAUUGGAAUUCCUGGUGUAGCGGUGGAAUGCGCAGAUAUCAGGAGGAACACCGAUGGCGAAGGCAGAUCUCUGGGCCGUAACUGACGCUGAGGAGCGAAAGGGUGGGGAGCAAACAGGCUUAGAUACCCUGGUAGUCCACCCCGUAAACGUUGGGAACUAGUUGUGGGGUCCUUUCCACGGAUUCCGUGACGCAGCUAACGCAUUAAGUCCUCCGUCUGGGGGAGUACGGGCCGCAAGGCUAAACUCAAAGGAAUUUGACCGGGGACCCGCACAAGCGGCGGGAGCAUGCCGAUAAUUCCGAUGCAACGCCGAAGAACCUUACCUAGGCUGACAUU